Non-coding RNA from Saimiri boliviensis boliviensis (Bolivian squirrel monkey), 481 nucleotides. The record is from RefSeq and is a predicted model, not a curated record. Lineage: Eukaryota; Metazoa; Chordata; Mammalia; Primates; Cebidae.
GUGAAAGGAUCACCACGGGUUCCGGAAACUCAACAUUUUUUUAACCAAUACGGCUGGCGCAUAGAGUCGUCCAGCAAGAGUGCAUUCCUUCUACUUAUAAAAGUAAGUUAACUGUCAAACAGCCUCAGACAGGCUUUUCAGGAAGUAUUCUAGAAGAUGGCAUUGUCAUCGUAGGAUAUGACAGCUCAGGGUGUUAUUGCCCCUGAAGACUUUCCAAUGAGACAAGAUGUGGAGAACCCGUCCCUUGUUCUGCUGACAGCAUUCUCUACUUUCUUUGGAAACUAUUUCCUUGCCCAGCUAUGCCAGGGAUGGGCAGAUUGUGUAAAUGUGAUCAUUCAGGACUCUUCUGAGAUUUUCCAAAUAGAAAUUAAGGAAAAAGACGAUUUUUCCUGAAGUCGACGCAGAAAGAUGCUAGUGCCCAUGACUCCAGCCUUCUAGGGGAUGCUGGUUUGAGAGAAUGAAGCCCUCUUCCUGAGGAAAG